UUCAUUCCCCCCAGUCCAGGGGAUAAAUGGAGAGACCUCUGCCAUAAUGACCUCCAUUACAGGACUCAGACCCUAGUCUACGAGAGUCCAGGAGGGCUGGAGGAAGUCAUUAGGAACUGACCACGCCCCCAGCACACUGGGCAGAGUCCAUUUUCCCAGGGCCAUCCCCACCCCCUUGGUCAGAACGGGGCUCCUUACUCUUGCGGAGCCUGCCCAGCACACCCUGUACCCUUCUUUCACUCUUGAACCAGACUGAAGAUUACCCUGGCAGCUGAGAGGACUUGAGCCCUCCUGAGAAAGGAGCAGUAGCUGGUCCCUCCAGAUUACAGCUGUUCCUGGGCAUCCUGAACUUUGCACUCCAGUCUGAGGGCUCCAAAGAAUGGCUGCCAUGGCAACCGUUUCCAUGUUUUUGUCACCAAGGGACUCAACACUCAGUGUGAACUCUGAUGGGGGGGUGGGGAGCCUUCCAGCCCAGAGAAGUGGCUGGGCCAUGUAUGUUUGACUGAGCAGAUGAAGGUCACCGUGGCAACUGAGUGCCCCUUAGCUAAGCAAGGGGGAGCCGCCACCCCCCGCUUCCCUAAGAGCCCCUGUUUCCUCUCCUCUGGACUGAGCUGAAUACAGAAUGAGCCUCCCUCAGGAUGUGGCUGUUUCCCUGCAUGGGACCUCAGACCCUGGCCCAGCCACAGUGUCCCCCAGCUGGGGUGGACAGGGGUGGCCAUGAGGAUGCUGCAGAAGGCACCUCUGGCUGGGGCCCCGGAGAAGGCAGCUUUGAUCCUAGGCACUGAGCAUCUAUUGGUGUUAUGAGCUGAACUGUGAUCCCCAAAAUUCCUAUGUUGAAGUCCUAAUUCCCAGUACUUGGGAAUGUGACAGUAUUUGGAGAUGGAGCCUUUAAAGAGGUAAUUAAGAUGAAGUGAUUCGAGGUGGGCUUUAAUCCAAUAUGACUGGUGUCCUCAUAUGAAGAGAUCAGGACACAGACACACAGAGGAACAAUUACGUGAAGACACAGUGAGAAUGUUACAUCUGCGAGCCAAGGAGAGACGCCUGAGAAGAAACCCACCCUGCAGACACCUGAAUCUAGUACUUCCAACCUCCAGAACGGUAAAAAAAUAAAUCGCUGUUGUUUAAGCCUC
Long non-coding RNA from Hipposideros armiger (great roundleaf bat), 1130 nucleotides. RefSeq lists it as uncharacterized. The record is from RefSeq and is a predicted model, not a curated record. Lineage: Eukaryota; Metazoa; Chordata; Mammalia; Chiroptera; Hipposideridae. The transcript is spliced from 2 exons.